GCUGGCGUAGCUCAAUGGCAGAGCACCUGUUUUGUAAACAGGCGGCUGCGGGUUCGAGUCCCACCGCUAGCU
This 72-nucleotide transfer RNA is filed under the name Deltaproteobacteria bacterium. RNAcentral's name for it is "tRNA-Thr". It matches the Rfam family "tRNA". From Rfam's summary of the family: Transfer RNA (tRNA) molecules are approximately 80 nucleotides in length. Their secondary structure includes four short double-helical elements and three loops (D, anti-codon, and T loops). RNAcentral also lists the same sequence under 1 other name. The record is from RNAcentral. Lineage: Bacteria; Pseudomonadati; Myxococcota; Myxococcia.